GUGCUUGCUUCAGAAGCACAUAUUCUAAAAUUGUAGCAAUACAGAGAAGAUUAGCAUGGCCCCUGUGAAAAGAUGAUAUGCAGACUCGUGAAGUGUUCCAUAUUUUU
RNAcentral lists this small nuclear RNA (107 nucleotides) under Carlito syrichta (Philippine tarsier). The record is from RNAcentral. Lineage: Eukaryota; Metazoa; Chordata; Mammalia; Primates; Tarsiidae.